UCAGAAAAGCAACGAAUGUUUCUAAGGAGGUGGGGAGACCUAUUUCUUCUUAUCUCUAUCCUCCAUUUCUUCUCCUCGCUGCUCUUUGCUCUGUGUGACCUGAUAAAGGGCUGUCUAAGAGUCACAAGACGCUGUUCUCAUGUGGGCUGGGACGUGGGAAGAAUUCAGGGUUUACAGUCACAAGCCGGGGAGUAUCAGCGUUGAAUUUACAGCUAUGCUACAGAAAGACGGCGCAGAGCCUUUUCUCAUUUUGCUAUUGCCCCUUUGGGAAAUGAAGGACUUUGGCCAAACGGACAAGUUGAGCACCGUGAUCCCAGGAUCAACACUCAAUGUGCUUGUGCUGGUGUAAACAAAGAUUUGGGUCAAGAAAAAUGUGGUUGGAACUGGUGAAACUUGCACUUGCACUGAGAAUUAAUGGUCGAGUGCCUUAAUGAAUCUGAAUCUUCUAGUAUCUCCUGAAAUUCAUCGAUGUGAUAUACGUCUUUGGGAAAACUUGCUCCUGAGGUGGAAAAAACCUCACUAUUUUUCUAUUUUUUGCCUACAUUCUCUGCAGAAUGUUUAAAAUUGUAAAAUAAAAAAGAAGUUUGAUCAGUGA
This is a long non-coding RNA of Calidris pugnax (ruff), 595 nucleotides long. RefSeq lists it as uncharacterized. The record is from RefSeq and is a predicted model, not a curated record. Lineage: Eukaryota; Metazoa; Chordata; Aves; Charadriiformes; Scolopacidae. The transcript is spliced from 2 exons.